GAUGAACGCUGGCGGCGUGCCUAAUACAUGCAAGUCGAACGCAUAGCGAAAGGUGCUUGCACCUUUCAAGUGAGUGGCGAACGGGUGAGUAACACGUGGACAACCUGCCUCAAGGCUGGGGAUAACAUUUGGAAACAGAUGCUAAUACCGAAUAAAACUUAGUGUCGCAUGACACAAAGUUAAAAGGCGCUUCGGCGUCACCUAGAGAUGGAUCCGCGGUGCAUUAGUUAGUUGGUGGGGUAAAGGCCUACCAAGACAAUGAUGCAUAGCCGAGUUGAGAGACUGAUCGGCCACAUGGGGACUGAGACACGGCCCAAACUCCUACGGGAGGCUGCAGUAGGGAAUCUUCCACAAUGGGCGAAAGCCUGAUGGAGCAACGCCGCGUGUGUGAUGAAGGCUUUCGGGUCGUAAAGCACUGUUGUAUGGGAAGAACAGCUAGAAUAGGAAAUGAUUUUAGUUUGACGGUACCAUACCAGAAAGGGACGGCUAAAUACGUG
RNAcentral lists this ribosomal RNA (497 nucleotides) under uncultured bacterium. RNAcentral describes it as "partial 16S ribosomal RNA". It matches the Rfam family "Bacterial small subunit ribosomal RNA", at positions 28 to 507 of the family's 1533-position model. The record is from RNAcentral.